RNAcentral lists this ribosomal RNA (551 nucleotides) under uncultured bacterium. RNAcentral describes it as "bacterial SSU rRNA". It matches the Rfam family "Bacterial small subunit ribosomal RNA", at positions 355 to 896 of the family's 1533-position model. The record is from RNAcentral.
UGAGGGAUUUUGCGCAAUGGGGGAAACCUUGACGCAGCAACGCCGCGUGAGUGAAGAAGGCUCUUGGGUCGUAAAGCUCUGUCAACAGGGAAGAAGUUACUGUAUAUGAAUAGUGUAUGGUAUUGACGGUACCUGUGGAGGAAGCACCGGCUAACUCCGUGCCAGCAGCCGCGGUAACACGGGGGGUGCAAGCGUUAUUCGGAAUUAUUGGGCGUAAAGGGCGCGCAGGCGGUCUUGCCGGUCAGGUGUGAAAGCCCGGGGCUCAACCCCGGAAGAGCAUUUGAAACAGCAAGACUUGAGUACAGGAGAGGAAAGCGGAAUUCCUGGUGUAGAGGUGAAAUUCGUAGAUAUCAGGAGGAACACCCAUGGCGAAGGCAGCUUUCUGGACUGAUACUGACGCUGAGGCGCGAAGGUGUGGGUAGCGAACAGGAUUAGAUACCCUGGUAGUCCACACAGUAAACGAUGUUCACUAGGUGUAGCGGGUAUUAAAACCUGCUGUGCCGGAGUUAACGCAUUAAGUGAACCGCCUGGGGAGUACGGUCGCAAGAUUA